This 237-nucleotide unclassified non-coding RNA is filed under the name Vishniacozyma heimaeyensis. RNAcentral's name for it is "sequence contains 5.8S rRNA gene". Lineage: Eukaryota; Fungi; Basidiomycota; Tremellomycetes; Tremellales; Bulleribasidiaceae. The record is from RNAcentral.
GAACGCAUCUUGCGCUCCUUGGUAUUCCGAAGGGCAUGCCUGUUUGAGUGUCAUGAAACCUCACCCCACUUGGGUUUUUGCCCGAGCGGUGGUGGAUUGGGCGUCUGCCGUUAAUGGCUCGCCUGAAAAGCAUAAGCAACUUUGGAUGUAAUACGUUUCAUCCUUUCGAGUGGCUGACAACCCCACAUAUUUCAUGAUCUGGCCUCAAAUCAGGUAGGGCUACCCGCUGAACUUAAG